Molecule: ribosomal RNA, 781 nt
Filed under: Nonomuraea sp.
Lineage: Bacteria; Bacillati; Actinomycetota; Actinomycetes; Streptosporangiales; Streptosporangiaceae
Description: bacterial SSU rRNA
Rfam family: Bacterial small subunit ribosomal RNA
Source: RNAcentral
AGCGGAAGGCCCUUCGGGGUACUCGAGCGGCGAACGGGUGAGUAACACGUGAGCAACCUGCCCCUGACUCUGGGAUAAGCCCGGGAAACUGGGUCUAAUACCGGAUACGACCGCCUCCGGCAUCGGGUGGUGGUGGAAAGAUUUCUUGGUCGGGGAUGGGCUCGCGGCCUAUCAGCUUGUUGGUGGGGUAGUGGCCUACCAAGGCGACGACGGGUAGCCGGCCUGAGAGGGCGACCGGCCACACUGGGACUGAGACACGGCCCAGACUCCUACGGGAGGCAGCAGUGGGGAAUAUUGCGCAAUGGGCGGAAGCCUGACGCAGCGACGCCGCGUGGGGGAUGACGGCCUUCGGGUUGUAAACCUCUUUCAGCAGGGACGAAGUUGACGUGUACCUGCAGAAGAAGCGCCGGCUAACUACGUGCCAGCAGCCGCGGUAAUACGUAGGGCGCAAGCGUUGUCCGGAAUUAUUGGGCGUAAAGAGCUCGUAGGUGGCUGGUCGCGUCUGCCGUGAAAGCCCGCAGCUUAACUGCGGGUCUGCGGUGGAUACGGGCCGGCUAGAGGUAGGCAGGGGCAAGUGGAAUUCCUGGUGUAGCGGUGAAAUGCGCAGAUAUCAGGAGGAACACCGGUGGCGAAGGCGGCUUGCUGGGCCUUACCUGACGCUGAGGAGCGAAAGCGUGGGGAGCGAACAGGAUUAGAUACCCUGGUAGUCCACGCUGUAAACGUUGGGCGCUAGGUGUGGGGGUCUUCCACGAUCUCCGUGCCGGAGCUAACGCAUUAAGCG